Molecule: ribosomal RNA, 854 nt
Filed under: uncultured Chloroflexota bacterium
Lineage: Bacteria; Bacillati; Chloroflexota
Description: bacterial SSU rRNA
Rfam family: Bacterial small subunit ribosomal RNA
Source: RNAcentral
GAUCAACGCUGGCGGCGUGCCUAAUGCAUGCAAGUCGCACGGGGUGGCCUUCGGGUCGCUUACGUGGCGGACGGGUGAGGAACGCGUGGAUCACCUGCCCGAUGGUGGGGGCUAGCCUUCGGAAACGGAGGGUAAUUCCGCAUGAGCUUGCCGACCGUGUGGGGUUGGUAAGGAAAGCUCGCAAGGGCGCCAUCGGAGGGGUCUGCGUCCGAUUAGUUAGUUGGUGGGGUAACGGCCUACCAAGGCGGUGAUCGGUAGCUGGUUUGAGAGGAUGAUCAGCCACACGGGGACUGAGACACGGCCCCGACUCCUACGGGAGGCAGCAGCAAGGGAUUUUCCGCAAUGGGCGCAAGCCUGACGGAGCAACGCCGCGUGCGGGAUGACGCUUUUCGGAGUGUAAACCGCUGUUCGUGGGGACGAAGCACUGACGGUACCCACGGAGGAAGGCCCGGCUAACUACGUGCCAGCAGCCGCGGUAAUACGUAGGGGUCGAGCGUUGUCCGGAGUUACUGGGCGUAAAGCGCGUGCAGGUGGCUCAUUACGCCCGGCGUGAAAGCCCCCGGCUUAACCGGGGAGGGUCGUCGGGGACGGGUGAGCUUGAGGGUCGCAGGGGCUGGUGGAAUUCCCGGUGUAGUGGUGAAAUGCGUAGAGAUCGGGAGGAACACCCGUGGCGAAGGCGGCCAGCUGGGCGAGCCCUGACACUGAGACGCGAAGGCGUGGGGAGCGAACGGGAUUAGAUACCCCGGUAGUCCACGCAGUAAACGAUGCCGACUAGGCGUGGGGGGACUUGACCCCUUCCGUGCCGAAGCUAACGCAUGAAGUCGGCCGCCUGGGGAGUACGGCCGCAAGGCUAA